UGAUUAUGUCAUAAAGGUGGGGGUCUCAUGAAUGAAAUGAAGGCCCUUGUAAAAGUGACCUUGGAGAGCUAGUUAGCUUCUUCUACCAUGAGAGGACACAGAAAAAACACAUGACAGCUAGAAGCGGGUCCCCACCAAACGUCAAAUCUGCCAGUGCUUUUAUUUUGGACUUCUCAGCUUCUAGAACUGUUUUGUACGUCUGCAUGCAAAUCUCUGCACACUCAGACAAAGGGGCAGAAAUUAAAGACACACAAAAGAAUCCUCCAUCAUAGUACAUCAAUACUACAGACUGCAAUGCAGCUAUUAACAAGAAUGUGAUAGAGCUACAUGAACGGCCUUGAAAAGAGUCCAUAUAUGUCCAUAUGGCUAAACAGGAAAGCAAUGCAACGAAAUUCUCAUAGAUUCAUGAGGAAAAAUCUACCAUCAUAUAAAAACCCCACAAAAAUAUCAAGA
This is a long non-coding RNA of Tupaia belangeri chinensis (Chinese tree shrew), 453 nucleotides long. RefSeq lists it as uncharacterized. The transcript has 4 exons. The record is from RefSeq and is a predicted model, not a curated record. Lineage: Eukaryota; Metazoa; Chordata; Mammalia; Scandentia; Tupaiidae.